GUGUACGUAGCUCAUUGGGUAGAGCAGAUGACAGUAAUCAUCCGGUAGCAGGUUCGACUCCUGCCGUAGACA
This 72-nucleotide transfer RNA is filed under the name Gammaproteobacteria bacterium. Its description in RNAcentral is "tRNA-OTHER". It matches the Rfam family "tRNA". Rfam says of the family: Transfer RNA (tRNA) molecules are approximately 80 nucleotides in length. Their secondary structure includes four short double-helical elements and three loops (D, anti-codon, and T loops). Further hydrogen bonds mediate the characteristic L-shaped molecular structure. tRNAs have two regions of fundamental functional importance: the anti-codon, which is responsible for specific mRNA codon recognition, and the 3' end, to which the tRNAs corresponding amino acid is attached (by aminoacyl-tRNA synthetases). tRNAs cope with the degeneracy of the genetic code in two manners: having more than one tRNA (with a specific anti-codon) for a particular amino acid; and 'wobble' base-pairing, i.e. permitting non-standard base-pairing at the 3rd anti-codon position. The record is from RNAcentral. Lineage: Bacteria; Pseudomonadati; Pseudomonadota; Gammaproteobacteria.